AUUGAACGCUGGCGGCAGGCCUAACACAUGCAAGUCGAACGGCAACACGAAGAUGGUUGCUUCUUUGCUGACGAGUGGGGGGCGGGUGAGAAAUGUCCGGGAAACUGCCUGGUGGAGGGGGAUACCUACUGGAAACGGUUGCCAAUACCGAAUAACGUGGCAAGGCCAAAGAGCGGGGCAUUCCGGCCUCUUGCCGUCGCCUGUGCCCAGAUGGGAUUAGCUAGUGGGUGGGGUAACGGCUCACCAAGGCGACGAUCCGUAGCUGGUCUGAGAGGAUGACCAGCCACACUGGAACUGAGACACGGUCCAGACUCCUACGGGAGGCAGCAGUGGGGAAUAUUGCACAAUGGGCGAAAGCCUGAUGCAGCCAUGCCGCGUGUGUGAAGAAGGCCUUCGGGUUGUAAAGUACUUUCAGCGGGGAGGAAAAGAAUUAAGUCAAUACCAUGGUGCAUUGACGUUACCCGCAGAAUAAGCACCGGCUAACUCCGUG
This 490-nucleotide ribosomal RNA is filed under the name uncultured bacterium. RNAcentral's name for it is "partial 16S ribosomal RNA". It matches the Rfam family "Bacterial small subunit ribosomal RNA", at positions 30 to 507 of the family's 1533-position model. The record is from RNAcentral.